CCUACGGGGGGCUGCAGUAAGGAAUAUUGGUCAAUGGACGCAAGUCUGAACCAGCCAUGCCGCGUGGAGGAUGAAGGUCCUCUGGAUUGUAAACUUCUUUUAUUUGGGAAGAACCUCCCGAUUUCCAUCGGGCUUGACGGUACCAGAUGAAUAAGCACCGGCUAACUCCGUGCCAGCAGCCGCGGUACUACGGAGGGUGCAGGCGUUAUCCGGUUUAAAGGGGGCGUAGGUGGGCAGAUAAGGGAGUGGUGAAAUCUCCGGGCUUAACCCGGGAAAUGCCAUUGAUACGAUUUGUCGUGAAUACUCUGGAGGUGAGCGGAAUAUGUCAUGUAGCGGUGAAAUGCUUAGAUAUGACAUAGAACACCCAUGGCGAAGGCAGCUCACUACGGAAAUAUUGACGCUGAGGCACGAAAGCGUGGGGAUCAAACAGGAUUAGAUACCCCAGUAGUC
Molecule: ribosomal RNA, 450 nt
Filed under: uncultured bacterium
Lineage: Bacteria
Description: partial 16S ribosomal RNA
Rfam family: Bacterial small subunit ribosomal RNA
Source: RNAcentral